This 66-nucleotide microRNA precursor is filed under the name Bombyx mori (domestic silkworm). RNAcentral describes it as "mir-2774 microRNA precursor family". It matches the Rfam family "mir-2774 microRNA precursor family". The record is from Rfam by way of RNAcentral. Lineage: Eukaryota; Metazoa; Arthropoda; Insecta; Lepidoptera; Bombycidae.
ACAACAUAAGGACCGUCGGUCUACGAGCAAUAUCACCCGCUCGGUGGAAGAUCUUCCUUUCGUCGU